RNAcentral lists this ribosomal RNA (660 nucleotides) under uncultured bacterium. RNAcentral describes it as "bacterial SSU rRNA". It matches the Rfam family "Bacterial small subunit ribosomal RNA", at positions 8 to 652 of the family's 1533-position model. The record is from RNAcentral.
AGAGUUUGAUCCUGGCUCAGAUUGAACGCUGGCGGCGUGCCUUACACAUGCAAGUCGAACGUGAAAGUACUUUCGGGUACGAGUAAAGUGGCGCACGGGUGAGUAACGCGUGGAUAAUCUACCAAGAAGUUUGGGAUAACAGCUGGAAACGGCUGCUAAUACCGAAUACGCUGCAUAUCUAUCUUAUGUGGGAAAGAUGGCCUCUGCAUAUGCUGUUGCUUUUUGAUGAGUCCGCGUACCAUUAGCUGGUUGGUGGGGUAAAGGCCUACCAAGGCGACGAUGGUUAACUGGUCUGAGAGGAUGAUCAGUCACACUGGAACUGGAACACGGUCCAGACUCCUACGGGAGGCAGCAGUGGGGAAUAUUGCGCAAUGGGCGAAAGCCUGACGCAGCGACGCCGCGUGAGGGAUGAAGGUCUUCGGAUCGUAAACCUCUGUCAGCAGGGAAGAACGGUCACUGUGCUAAUCAGCAGUGAAUUGACGGUACCUGCAAAGGAAGCACCGGCUAACUCCGUGCCAGCAGCCGCGGUAAUACGGAGGGUGCGAGCGUUAAUCGGAAUUACUGGGCGUANAGCGCUCGUAGGUAGUAUGGCAAGUCAAGGGUGAAAUCCCCGCGCUCAACGUGGGAACUGCCUUUUGAACUGCUACACUUGAAUGUGUG